RNAcentral lists this ribosomal RNA (425 nucleotides) under uncultured bacterium. RNAcentral describes it as "partial 16S ribosomal RNA". It matches the Rfam family "Bacterial small subunit ribosomal RNA", at positions 354 to 796 of the family's 1533-position model. The record is from RNAcentral.
GUGGGGAAUCUUGCGCAAUGGGCGAAAGCCUGACGCAGCCAUGCCGCGUGGAUGAUGAAGGUCUUAGGAUUGUAAAAUCCUUUCACCGGUGAAGAUAAUGACUGUAGCCGGAGAAGAAGCCCCGGCUAACUUCGUGCCAGCAGCCGCGGUAAUACGAAGGGGGCUAGCGUUGCUCGGAAUUACUGGGCGUAAAGGGAGCGUAGGCGGACAUUUAAGUCAGGGGUGAAAUCCCGAGGCUCAACCUCGGAACUGCCUUUGAUACUGGGUGUCUGGAGUGUGAGAGAGGUGAGUGGAACUCCGAGUGUAGAGGUGAAAUUCGUAGAUAUUCGGAAGAACACCAGUGGCGAAGGCGACUCACUGGCUCAUUACUGACGCUGAGGCUCGAAAGCGUGGGGAGCAAACAGGAUUAGAAACCCCUGUAGUCC